UAUGCAAAAAUAAAAUUUAAGAGCAUUGUGCUUGCAGAGACGAAGCGCGCAUGCUCGCGAUACAGCUAGCGGACGCAAACCGAUCGAAUUGGAACUCGCUUUUAUACACACGAGAUAUCUGUCGCGCUUGGCAGUUAUCGCGAUUACAAAGACGACUUUUUCGGCAAUCGAAGGACAGAACGGCUAUUUUGAGAAAAAUUUUCAGCAGCACAUUAAUAUCUCCUCACUUCUCCUCCUGGAAAUAGACUCGACCGACUCGACGCGCGGAAUUCAGCGUUCCAUCACGUUCCCGUUAAAAAAACAGCAAUAGGACGGUAAUUGGCGAAUCGGACAGGAAAUGAAGAUCAACCAAAGCUAUGGACGCUCGUUGACACUGGAGGGAAAAACCGAUCUGCCACGUGUGUAUCCGACGUAUCCGGUUGACUGGAUCAGUUUUCGUCAGCUUCGCGAGUCCAUUGACUUCCGGCGCAAAGUACGUCGAGCCCAGACUCGAAAUCGCGUUCAUCACGUCCUAACGUUUGUUUUCUCUUAGUUAGCCCAACACUGAUCCACACCAUGCACGCAUUUUACGUGGAAGAGAUGCAUCGAAAUGGCAGCGAACCGUGAUUCAGACACUUAAGGAAGAUUCUAGGAACAAAGCUGUCUUUUGUUGCAAUGACUGAUUAGAGCUGCAGAAUCUCAAUCCAGACAAUGUAUCGGUCGCGAACUCGAGCUAUCACAUCGGCGAGGUGGACUCGCGAUUUUCGAGAAAAAUUUUUCUUCCGACAAGUCCGAUCUAUCGGUAAACGACGAUUUCUGGAAUCUGGUGCGAGAUGAGCUCGGUGUGGAUGUGCUGGUGCUACUGGUGAGUCGAGGAGCUUUUGGAACGCACCGCGACCUCCUCCGCUAUAAAUAAAACGGCGGCCGCCACACCGAAAACUCUGCCAACGAAACGGGUAACGUCGAUUCAUCGUAAUUUUCCUCGCGAGACUCAGAAACCGGGAAAUUUUCCGGGUGACGGGAGUUAGCCGCAAUAGAUUGCGCCGCCGACGUCUUCAGGUUCGACGAGUCGAUUUGCGUGCCAAGUGACACUGGUCACCUUAGAUGUCGUGUUUGUUGAGACCUGAAUUUUCUCGCUAUCUGUACCUGGUUCGCGUUAAACGAAUAGAAAUUCUUUCGCGUGCUAUUUAACUUGUUCCUUCAAAUAUUCCUACAUCAUAUUAAAAAAAUUUUGAAAAUUUCUUCUAAACUAUGCUAAAGAUUUGCAACGAAUGUAGUUUUAGAAGUGACAGUUUAUUUCAGCGUUUCGUAAUUAUUUUUGCUCAACUCUUACAAGUUGUAUUUCUCAGAAUUGUUUUGAAUGCUCUAUUGGCAGUAAGCUCGGUACGAAUAACAUUGAUGGAUUUAUAAAAUUUCGUUGAGGUUGCUAAUGCAUAUUUUUUUUAUUUUAAGGAAUCGGGAGAUAUCUAUGAACGGUUAAGUUCUUACAGUUUCUUAGAUGAAACUCUGUUAAUCGAUAUUUCAAAUAACAUAUUCUAAUUCAAAUAUAUAUUGUCGUGACGUACAGUCGUGACACAGUAAUAACAACAAUUAUCUUGAAAGACUUUGCUCAGAAUGUUUCUAACAUUUUACUAUUCAAAUUAAAUUGAUAAAUAUGUAACUGACUUCAUCGAAAUGUUUAACUUGAAUUCUAAAUUAAAAAUACCUCGGACUAAGGCUACAAAAAUGUAGCGCCCGUCCUGACAGGUUGAACAUAUUGCCGAGAACGAAAUUUAUCGAUUAUUUUACAGUGACGCAAUUCACAGGAGGCGAAGAUCGAGUGGCGGGUCAAAUAACCCGGGUACGAUCUUGUACGAAAACUAUGCGCCGGCUCAUAUAACGUAGUGCGAUAGUCACGUGUCAAAAAAACACGUGAGGUGUCCGCAAUGUCAGGUUGAGCUGUGCACUAUUACUUUGUAUAUCAUCUGAUCUUUGGAUAAUUAUCUCUGGAUAACUAUCCUUGGGAAGGUCACUUUGCAAAAUCUUCAGUUGAAACGUUAUCCUGGUGGGAUAACCGGAAUCUUUGAUGUAACUGUAGGUACUUGUAGCGACUAUAGAUUAUGACUCAACCGUCCCUCGAUUAGUAACGAAAAUGUACCACCUUCUGUUUUACCGACGAACGGUGAUACCUGAAAACAAUACUCUAAAAACAUGAAACUUCACCAGAUGUCUGUAAUUCAGUCUUGUCUGUAUCAGUUUCAAAUAAUUUACUUCGCUAACGAAAUAUAAUCCUCUCUCUCUCUC
Molecule: long non-coding RNA, 2262 nt
Organism: Dinoponera quadriceps
Lineage: Eukaryota; Metazoa; Arthropoda; Insecta; Hymenoptera; Formicidae
Exons: 4
Source: RefSeq, a predicted model, not a curated record